Molecule: small RNA, 722 nt
Filed under: Pongo abelii (Sumatran orangutan)
Lineage: Eukaryota; Metazoa; Chordata; Mammalia; Primates; Hominidae
Description: retained intron
Source: RNAcentral
AGGAUCAAAGCGAUCGCAGCCAAGCACAAUAAAACUACAGCCCAGGUCCUGAUCCGGUUCCCCAUGCAGAGGAACUUGGUGGUGAUCCCCAAGUCUGUGACACCAGAACGCAUUGCUGAGAACUUUAAGGUCUUUGAUUUUGAACUGAGCAGCCAGGAUAUGACCACCUUACUCAGCUACAACAGGAACUGGAGGGUCUGUGCCUUGUUGAGGUGAGUGAGCCCCAGCGUGAGGAGCAGUUCCCAGGAGAUACUCAGAUGCUGCAGAGCAAGAGUGAUCCCUGCAGGCCUCAGUGCCUAUGUGCUCUCAUCACAGCUGUUCUUGCUUUGUGCAUUACCUUGCUUUCUCAGCCACAUGACCUGCAUCAGCUGAACUGCAUGGAGCCAAGAUGCCAAGAGAUCUGCUCUUGAUAUCUUCUUCCAGCCCUGGGGCAUUGUUGGCCUGGCCUGAAGUAACUACGUAUUUUGGCUUUCCAUUUAAUUUUUAAAUCCUAGUGGUUCAUCUGAAACUAGGUGAUCCCAGGUGACCCUGGAUCAAACUCUGGAAGAAUUUGCCUGUGACUUUUUGUCUUAAUGACCCUAAUGAAAGGGGUUUGGUCGGGAGCCCCUGGGGCUGAGGUUUGAGACAGUCCCAGCUCUGACCCUGGUAAGCCACAUGGCUCCGAAACAGGCCCUCCCUCUGAGCAGCAGGCACCUCAGUUCCUCCAGCCACACAUCCUCUGG